RNAcentral lists this long non-coding RNA (1059 nucleotides) under Strigops habroptila (Kakapo). RNAcentral's name for it is "lncRNA (ENSSHBG00005011808.1)". The record is from RNAcentral. Lineage: Eukaryota; Metazoa; Chordata; Aves; Psittaciformes; Psittacidae.
GAUUUUAAUAUGAUUAUAUUAUAAAAAGAUUAAUGGUAUUUUUCUAAGUAACCCACAUAGAUCUGAGGCUGGUAUCUCAAUGUUGGAUAAGUUUAAUGAACUCACUUUCUUGCUUGCCAUAACUUUCUCUCUGUUCAAAUAGAUUGUAGGAAUAUUACAUCAAUUCACAUAAGCCUAUAAACUCCCAUGGAACUGGAAUACACUCGCAAAUUUUUUUAAUAAACUUAGAUAAUAAUGAAUGCCUGGUUAGAUAGAAUUAUAAUCUUUUGUGCAGUUUGGGUGAGAUUUGCUUAGCCUUCAAGUAUUUCUCAGCAUGCUGCUCACAAGACAAUGUUUUCUUUGUGUUCUGCAACUAUGAGCUUACAGUCCCUGUAGGUUUCAAUUUGUGCACAUGUAUGUGAACAGGCUUUAAAAAGUGAAUCCACACAGUGGUUUAGGUGCCAGUAUCCAAUUCUAGGCAUGUAAAAUAGACAAGUUUGAACUCUCUAAAGGUUUUCUUCUUUCUGUAUUAUCAGAAAGUAUGUUCCUAAUAUUGCCACUUGAAUAAACUGAUUGCACUCUUAAAUAUAUAUACUCAUGAUGGCUGUUUCAAAGAAGCUUGGUCUUUUGUUUUUUGUUUGUUGUUUUUUUAAGAGAGAGUUUAUUUUAUUUAAAUUCUUAUUUUAGAAAUACAAAUACAAUGCAAGUAUAUGGAUAGCUACUAUUGUGUUCCAUGUACACGUACUUGAUGUAAGAAUCUUCUUAGAACGUGAUAGCUGGGUUUUUUUCUUAAAUUGAAAAUCACUGUCUAUAUAUAAUAUAUUUGGAUAUAUACUUACAAUAACACCAAGUGCAUGAAAUUAAUUCUAGGCUUGUUAUUAUGAAGAUGUUUCAGGAAACUGUAACAAAAAGUCUGGUUUUAAUUUAUUUAAACCAAUGUUCUUGCAAAUCUCACAGGGUAAUUAGAGAUAGAAAGAUACUCAACUGAGUUUACAAGUAAAAAUGAGCAGGUUGGUGUAAAACCUAGUUCAUUAACAAGAAAAGCAAGUGUAUAUGCUUUUGGAAGUAAACUGAAUUCAG